UCUCCGUUGGUGAACCAGCGGAGGGAUCAUUACCGAGUUUUCUACUCCCAAACCCCUGUGAACUUAUACCUUUACCGUUGCUUCGGCGGGUUAACGCCCCGGAAAGGCCCCCGAAAGGGAGCCGCCCCGGAACCAGGCGCCCGCCGGGGGACCCAAACUCUUGUAUUUUCUUACCUAGCAUGUCUGAGUGGAAUCAUAAACAAAUGAAUCAAAACUUUCAAUAACGGAUCUCUUGGUUCUG
This 241-nucleotide unclassified non-coding RNA is filed under the name plant metagenome. RNAcentral describes it as "partial contains small subunit ribosomal RNA, internal transcribed spacer 1, and 5.8S ribosomal RNA". The record is from RNAcentral.